CCUACGGGAGGCAGCAGUGGGGAAUAUUGCACAAUGGGGGAAACCCUGAUGCAGCGACGCCGCGUGAAGGAAGAAGUAUUUCGGUAUGUAAACUUCUAUCAGCAGGGAAGAAAAUGACGGUACCUGACUAAGAAGCCCCUGCUAACUACGUACCAGCAGCCACGGUAAUACGUAGGGGGCAAGCGUUAUCCGGAUUUACUGGGUGUAAAGGGAGCGUAGGCGGUUUAGCAAGUCAGAAGUGAAAGCCCGGGGCUCAACUCCGGGACUGCUUUUGAAACUGUUGAACUAGAGUGCAGGAGAGGUGAGUGGAAUUCCUAGUGUAGCGGUGAAAUGCGUAGAUAUUAGGAGGAACACCAGUGGCGAAGGCGGCUUACUGGACUGUAAAUGACGCUGAGGCUCGAAAGCGUGGGGAGCAAACAGGAUUAGAUACCCGUGUAGUC
RNAcentral lists this ribosomal RNA (440 nucleotides) under uncultured bacterium. RNAcentral describes it as "partial 16S ribosomal RNA". It matches the Rfam family "Bacterial small subunit ribosomal RNA", at positions 338 to 795 of the family's 1533-position model. The record is from RNAcentral.